Molecule: ribosomal RNA, 252 nt
Filed under: uncultured microorganism
Description: partial 16S ribosomal RNA
Rfam family: Bacterial small subunit ribosomal RNA
Source: RNAcentral
UACGUAGGUCCCGAGCGUUGUCCGGAUUUAUUGGGCGUAAAGCGAGCGCAGGUGGUUUAAUAAGUCUGAUGUAAAAGGCGGUGGCUCAACCAUUGUGUGCAUUGGAAACUGUUAGACUUGAGUGCAGUAGAGGAGAGUGGAAUUCCAUGUGUAGCGGUGAAAUGCGUAGAUAUAUGGAGGAACACCGGUGGCGAAAGCGGCUCUCUGGACUGUAACUGACACUGAGGCUCGAAAGCGAGGGUAGCAAACAGG